GAUGAACGCUCGCGGCGUGCCUAAUACAUGCAAGUCGAGCGAACAGAUGAGGCGCUUGCUCCUCUGACGUUAGCCGCGGAAGGGUGCGUAACCCGUGGAUACCCACCCUACAAGACUGGGACAACUUCGGGAAACCGGAGCCAAUACCCGCUAAUAUAUGGAACCUCAUGGGUCCAUAGGGCACGACGGUUUGGAUGUCACUUCAGGAUGGAUCCGCGCCGCAUUCACUAGUUGGUAAGGUAACGGCUUACCAAGGCAACGAUGCGUAGCCGACCUGAGAGACUGAUCGGCCACACUGGAACUGAGACACGGUCCAGACUCCUACGCGACGCAGCAGUAGGGAAUCUCCCGCAACGCGCGACUGUCUUGCCGAGCUACGAAGCGUGAGUGAUGAGGGUCCUCGGACCUUAGAACCCUGCUAUCCGGGCUGAACAACUGUGAAAGUGACUAUUCGCGUAGGGACUGUACCUGGUCAGAUAACCACGGCUACCGAAAUG
This 497-nucleotide ribosomal RNA is filed under the name uncultured bacterium. Its description in RNAcentral is "partial 16S ribosomal RNA". It matches the Rfam family "Bacterial small subunit ribosomal RNA", at positions 28 to 507 of the family's 1533-position model. The record is from RNAcentral.